GCUCAGAUUGAACGCUGGCGGCAGGCCUAACACAUGCAAGUCGAACGGUAACAGGAAGCAGCUUGCUGCUUCGCUGACGAGUGGCGGACGGGUGAGUAAUGUCUGGGAAACUGCCUGAUGGAGGGGGAUAACUACUGGAAACGGUAGCUAAUACCGCAUAACGUCGCAAGACCAAAGAGGGGGACCUUCGGGCCUCUUGCCAUCAGAUGUGCCCAGAUGGGAUUAGCUAGUAGGUGGGGUAACGGCUCACCUAGGCGACGAUCCCUAGCUGGUCUGAGAGGAUGACCAGCCACACUGGAACUGAGACACGGUCCAGACUCCUACGGGAGGCAGCAGUGGGGAAUAUUGCACAAUGGGCGCAAGCCUGAUGCAGCCAUGCCGCGUGUAUGAAGAAGGCCUUCGGGUUGUAAAGUACUUUCAGCGGGGAGGAAGGCGAUGUGGUUAAUAACCGCGUCGAUUGACGUUACCCGCAGAAGAAGCACCGGCUAACUCCGUGCCAGCAGCCGCGGUAAUACGGAGGGUGCAAGCGUUAAUCGGAAUUACUGGGCGUAAAGCGCACGCAGGCGGUCUGUCAAGUCGGAUGUGAAAUCCCCGGGCUCAACCUGGGAACUGCAUCCGAAACUGGCAGGCUUGAGUCUCGUAGAGGGGGGUAGAAUUCCAGGUGUAGCGGUGAAAUGCGUAGAGAUCUGGAGGAAUACCGGUGGCGAAGGCGGCCCCCUGGACGAAGACUGACGCUCAGGUGCGAAAGC
RNAcentral lists this ribosomal RNA (749 nucleotides) under Enterobacter sp. Wr1M18. RNAcentral's name for it is "bacterial SSU rRNA". It matches the Rfam family "Bacterial small subunit ribosomal RNA", at positions 22 to 760 of the family's 1533-position model. Lineage: Bacteria; Pseudomonadati; Pseudomonadota; Gammaproteobacteria; Enterobacterales; Enterobacteriaceae. The record is from RNAcentral.